UGGGGAAUAUUGCACAAUGGGGGAAACCCUGAUGCAGCAACGCCGCGUGAAGGAAGAAGUAUUUCGGUAUGUAAACUUCUAUCAACAGGGAAGAAAGAAAUGACGGUACCUGACUAAGAAGAACCGGCUAAAUACGUGCCAGCAGCCGCGGUAAUACGUAUGGUUCAAGCGUUAUCCGGAUUUACUGGGUGUAAAGGGUGAGUAGGCGGUUAUGCAAGUCACAUGUGAAAUGUCGGGGCUCAACUCCGGCCUGCAUGAGAAACUGUAUAACUAGAGUGCAGGAGAGGUAAGCGGAAUUCCCAGUGUAGCGGUGAAAUGCGUAGAUAUUGGGAAGAACACCGGUGGCGAAGGCGGCUUACUGGACUGUUACUGACGCUGAGUCACGAAAGCGUGGGGAGCG
This 400-nucleotide ribosomal RNA is filed under the name uncultured bacterium. Its description in RNAcentral is "bacterial SSU rRNA". It matches the Rfam family "Bacterial small subunit ribosomal RNA", at positions 355 to 770 of the family's 1533-position model. The record is from RNAcentral.